UUAUAGAUGGCAGAAUAAAUGCAAAGGUUUUAAGCGCCUUAAAUGGGUUUUACCCUUUAUUUC
Molecule: transfer RNA, 63 nt
Filed under: Gastrocopta cristata
Lineage: Eukaryota; Metazoa; Mollusca; Gastropoda; Stylommatophora; Pupillidae
Description: tRNA-Leu
Source: RNAcentral